CUGCACGAUGCACACCCCGGGCUUCUCCGAGGUUGAACCGCUGACGAUGGCAAAGCCCCAAUGCUCGUGCUAGAUCGAGGCGCCGUUCGUGUUGCAGUCUAGCUUGACGUAGCUUGAUCUGUGUCAAUUCAAGCGGCUACAUCU
Small nucleolar RNA from Syzygium oleosum, 144 nucleotides. RefSeq annotates it as small nucleolar RNA snoR134. The transcript has a single exon. NCBI's taxonomy places the organism in Eukaryota, Viridiplantae, Streptophyta, Magnoliopsida, Myrtales, Myrtaceae. The record is from RefSeq and is a predicted model, not a curated record.